Molecule: non-coding RNA, 244 nt
Organism: Paramuricea clavata
Lineage: Eukaryota; Metazoa; Cnidaria; Anthozoa; Malacalcyonacea; Plexauridae
Source: the annotation of a GenBank genome assembly
UGUUUCAACGUUGAAAUUUGGUAGAAAAAAGGUUGCGACGUCGACAACCUAAUAUCUACGUUGCUCUGACGUUGUUUUACAAACAUUGGUUCAACAGCAGCCAACACUCAACAGACGUUGAAUUAACGUUCAUUCAUGGUCGAUUUGUGAACCAAUCUCAACGUUGUUUUAACGUGGAUUCAACGUUGAAUUAUGGUUGACGAGAUUGGCAACCUAAUUUCAACGUUGUUUCAACGUUGAAACA